GACGAACGCUGGCGGCGUGCCUAAUACAUGCAAGUCGAGCGAAGUUUUUCUGGUGCUUGCACUAGAAAAACUUAGCGGCGAACGGGUGAGUAACACGUAAAGAACCUGCCUCAUAGACUGGGACAACUAUUGGAAACGAUAGCUAAUACCGGAUAACAGUAUUUCUCGCAUGAGAGAUAUUUAAAAGUUGGUUAUGCUAACACUAUGAGGUGGCUUUGCGGUGCAUUAGCUAGUUGGCGGGGUAAAGGCCCACCAAGGCGACGAUGCAUAGCCGACCUGAGAGGGUGAUCGGCCACACUGGGACUGAGACACGGCCCAGACUCCUACGGGAGGCAGCAGUAGGGAAUCUUCCGCAAUGGGCGAAAGCCUGACGGAGCAACGCCGCGUGAGUGAAGAAGGAUUUCGGUUCGUAAAGCUCUGUUGUUAGGGAAGAAUGGAUAUGUAGUAACUAUACAUGUAAGAGACGGUACCUAACCAGAAAGCCACGGCUAACUACGUG
Molecule: ribosomal RNA, 499 nt
Filed under: uncultured bacterium
Lineage: Bacteria
Description: partial 16S ribosomal RNA
Rfam family: Bacterial small subunit ribosomal RNA
Source: RNAcentral